Molecule: ribosomal RNA, 2916 nt
Filed under: Escherichia coli
Lineage: Bacteria; Pseudomonadati; Pseudomonadota; Gammaproteobacteria; Enterobacterales; Enterobacteriaceae
Description: 23S ribosomal RNA
Rfam family: Bacterial large subunit ribosomal RNA
Source: RNAcentral
GGUUAAGCGACUAAGCGUACACGGUGGAUGCCCUGGCAGUCAGAGGCGAUGAAGGACGUGCUAAUCUGCGAUAAGCGUCGGUGAGGUGAUAUGAACCGUUAUAACCGGCGAUUUCCGAAUGGGGAAACCCAGUGUGAUUCGUCACACUAUCAUUAACUGAAUCCAUAGGUUAAUGAGGCGAACCGGGGGAACUGAAACAUCUAAGUACCCCGAGGAAAAGAAAUCAACCGAGAUUCCCCCAGUAGCGGCGAGCGAACGGGGAGGAGCCCAGAGCCUGAAUCAGUAUGUGUGUUAGUGGAAGCGUCUGGAAAGGCGCGCGAUACAGGGUGACAGCCCCGUACACAAAAAUGCACAUAUUGUGAGCUCGAUGAGUAGGGCGGGACACGUGGUAUCCUGUCUGAAUAUGGGGGGACCAUCCUCCAAGGCUAAAUACUCCUGACUGACCGAUAGUGAACCAGUACCGUGAGGGAAAGGCGAAAAGAACCCCGGCGAGGGGAGUGAAAAAGAACCUGAAACCGUGUACGUACAAGCAGUGGGAGCCUCUUAAUGGGGUGACUGCGUACCUUUUGUAUAAUGGGUCAGCGACUUAUAUUCUGUAGCAAGGUUAACCGAAUAGGGGAGCCGAAGGGAAACCGAGUCUUAACUGGGCGUUAAGUUGCAGGGUAUAGACCCGAAACCCGGUGAUCUAGCCAUGGGCAGGUUGAAGGUUGGGUAACACUAACUGGAGGACCGAACCGACUAAUGUUGAAAAAUUAGCGGAUGACUUGUGGCUGGGGGUGAAAGGCCAAUCAAACCGGGAGAUAGCUGGUUCUCCCCGAAAGCUAUUUAGGUAGCGCCUCGUGAAUUCAUCUCCGGGGGUAGAGCACUGUUUCGGCAAGGGGGUCAUCCCGACUUACCAACCCGAUGCAAACUGCGAAUACCGGAGAAUGUUAUCACGGGAGACACACGGCGGGUGCUAACGUCCGUCGUGAAGAGGGAAACAACCCAGACCGCCAGCUAAGGUCCCAAAGUCAUGGUUAAGUGGGAAACGAUGUGGGAAGGCCCAGACAGCCAGGAUGUUGGCUUAGAAGCAGCCAUCAUUUAAAGAAAGCGUAAUAGCUCACUGGUCGAGUCGGCCUGCGCGGAAGAUGUAACGGGGCUAAACCAUGCACCGAAGCUGCGGCAGCGACACUAUGUGUUGUUGGGUAGGGGAGCGUUCUGUAAGCCUGUGAAGGUGGCCUGUGAGGGUUGCUGGAGGUAUCAGAAGUGCGAAUGCUGACAUAAGUAACGAUAAAGCGGGUGAAAAGCCCGCUCGCCGGAAGACCAAGGGUUCCUGUCCAACGUUAAUCGGGGCAGGGUGAGUCGACCCCUAAGGCGAGGCCGAAAGGCGUAGUCGAUGGGAAACAGGUUAAUAUUCCUGUACUUGGUGUUACUGCGAAGGGGGGACGGAGAAGGCUAUGUUGGCCGGGCGACGGUUGUCCCGGUUUAAGCGUGUAGGCUGGUUUUCCAGGCAAAUCCGGAAAACCAAGGCUGAGGCGUGAUGACGAGGCACUACGGUGCUGAAGCGACAAAUGCCCUGCUUCCAGGAAAAGCCUCUAAGCAUCAGGUAACAUCAAAUCGUACCCCAAACCGACACAGGUGGUCAGGUAGAGAAUACCAAGGCGCUUGAGAGAACUCGGGUGAAGGAACUAGGCAAAAUGGUGCCGUAACUUCGGGAGAAGGCACGCUGAUAUGUAGGUGAAGCGACUUGCUCGUGGAGCUGAAAUCAGUCGAAGAUACCAGCUGGCUGCAACUGUUUAUUAAAAACACAGCACUGUGCAAACACGAAAGUGGACGUAUACGGUGUGACGCCUGCCCGGUGCCGGAAGGUUAAUUGAUGGGGUUAGCGGCAACGCGAAGCUCUUGAUCGAAGCCCCGGUAAACGGCGGCCGUAACUAUAACGGUCCUAAGGUAGCGAAAUUCCUUGUCGGGUAAGUUCCGACCUGCACGAAUGGCGUAAUGAUGGCCAGGCUGUCUCCACCCGAGACUCAGUGAAAUUGAACUCGCUGUGAAGAUGCAGUGUACCCGCGGCAAGACGGAAAGACCCCGUGAACCUUUACUAUAGCUUGACACUGAACAUUGAGCCUUGAUGUGUAGGAUAGGUGGGAGGCUUUGAAGUGUGGACGCCAGUCUGCAUGGAGCCGACCUUGAAAUACCACCCUUUAAUGUUUGAUGUUCUAACGUUGGCCCCUAAUCGGGGUUGCGGACAGUGUCUGGUGGGUAGUUUGACUGGGGCGGUCUCCUCCUAAAGAGUAACGGAGGAGCACGAAGGUUGGCUAAUCCUGGUCGGACAUCAGGAGGUUAGUGCAAUGGCAUAAGCCAGCUUGACUGCGAGCGUGACGGCGCGAGCAGGUGCGAAAGCAGGUCAUAGUGAUCCGGUGGUUCUGAAUGGAAGGGCCAUCGCUCAACGGAUAAAAGGUACUCCGGGGAUAACAGGCUGAUACCGCCCAAGAGUUCAUAUCGACGGCGGUGUUUGGCACCUCGAUGUCGGCUCAUCACAUCCUGGGGCUGAAGUAGGUCCCAAGGGUAUGGCUGUUCGCCAUUUAAAGUGGUACGCGAGCUGGGUUUAGAACGUCGUGAGACAGUUCGGUCCCUAUCUGCCGUGGGCGCUGGAGAACUGAGGGGGGCUGCUCCUAGUACGAGAGGACCGGAGUGGACGCAUCACUGGUGUUCGGGUUGUCAUGCCAAUGGCACUGCCCGGUAGCUAAAUGCGGAAGAGAUAAGUGCUGAAAGCAUCUAAGCACGAAACUUGCCCCGAGAUGAGUUCUCCCUGACUCCUUGAGAGUCCUGAAGGAACGUUGAAGACGACGACGUUGAUAGGCCGGGUGUGUAAGCGCAGCGAUGCGUUGAGCUAACCGGUACUAAUGAACCGUGAGGCUUAACCUUACAACGCCGAAG